This is a non-coding RNA of Deltaproteobacteria bacterium, 83 nucleotides long. The record is from Rfam. NCBI's taxonomy places the organism in Bacteria, Pseudomonadati, Myxococcota, Myxococcia.
CUACCUUCAUCGAGAGGUGAGGGGGAAGAAGUUGCAGAAGUCAGCCGAGGGCAUAGUAGGUCCUUUCGACCGGACCGAAGGCC